This is a long non-coding RNA of Anolis carolinensis (green anole), 656 nucleotides long. The record is from Ensembl. NCBI's taxonomy places the organism in Eukaryota, Metazoa, Chordata, Lepidosauria, Squamata, Anolidae.
GCAGCCUUUUUGGCUUAAUGGCUUUGCUUCCUUGCACUGAAUAUGAAACUCACUUUGGGAGCCUUCUGAAAUUUACAAAACUAAAAUGAAAAAGUAUGGGGUUGGCAGAAGCUGGAGCUAAUAGCAGGCGCUCACUCUGCUCCCGGGAUUUGAACCUGUGACCUUUCAGUCUUACACAAUCAGUGGCAUACCAGUAUUGAAGAAUACACUUUCCUUUGGAAAUGGAAUCAGAUUCAGAAACCAAAUCCUUGAUCAUUCACAUUGACAACAAGGCAUACGAAGAUGUUAAAGUGACUGCUAGUGCCAGACCUUUCUUCAAGUUGCUGGAUGGCAACGUGAUUUUCUUCUGGUACAAAUGGCUAGCAUCAAUCAUCUCCACAAAAGUUCGCGCUAAAAAGAGAAAAAAUGUAAAUGAAGUUACCAAUAUGAAUUUCAUCACCUACCUAUUUGGAAAAUGUGGACUGAAGCUUUACAACAUCACUGUAGUCAGACCAUCAGAUGGAUAUAUUGCUGAAUGUUCAACUCCAUUGUGCUGUACUUGGGUAAUUGAAGAGAAGGGAAUAUAUCAAGAAGAAAAUCCUACAAACCACUGCAAAUUCAAGUCAAUGUCUAAUAGUCUGAUAGGAAAGAGAAUUAAUUGUGAUUCCAUUGUAUAA